Long non-coding RNA from Humulus lupulus (European hop), 1434 nucleotides. RefSeq lists it as uncharacterized. The record is from RefSeq and is a predicted model, not a curated record. Lineage: Eukaryota; Viridiplantae; Streptophyta; Magnoliopsida; Rosales; Cannabaceae. The transcript is spliced from 7 exons.
CUUUCACGCACCCUUUUCUUUCCUGUUUCCGUUCCCUGUUCUCUCACAGCCCUUUUCUCCACAGCCGUUCCGUUCCUUGUUCUCUCACAGCCGCACGCCGCACCCUUUCCCUGUUCUCUCACAGCCACACCCUUAUCACAGCCACACGUCGCCUCUUCCAGUUCUUCCUCAAGACCUGUAUAUCUGCAACUCCUGAGUAUCAAGGUUCAACAAGCUUUUUCAGACCUGGAGAGGGAGCGUGGUUAUCUUGUUACUGAUGAAGUGUUUGAGGCAUUGGUAAAAAUUGGAUUCUCGCUGGACUCUCCUGCUUUUUACACUGCCUGUGAGCCUCAUGCAUCUCAAAUAUUGUUUUGUACCAAAGAAAUUGUUUAAAUGCAAUGAUGUAUGCCAGAUGAUCUAGCAGGAAUACAUUAGUUCUAGAAGACCGAAGAAAAAGAUGUAAUUUGACCUCUGGUAUUGCUAUCAGUAUACUCUGAUUACAUAAAAUAUAUACACCUAUAUUUCCUUUUGUACUAGACGUGUAUUAUGAUUAUAGCACAAACUUGUGGGUAUCUAUGCACACAUAUCUCAUACAUACAUAAGCAGGAUGUUGAUAAUGCAUUAUCUAUAACAGAUAUGUAUACAUGUAUAUAUAUUUCUAAAACUUGUAGCUUUUUUAUGUUAAAGAGUUUAACAAUGUUACAUUCUGAGACCUUUGUAGCUCUUGUAGUUGUGGUAUUGUGUGUCCUCAAUACCAAUGUCUGUGAGGUAAAUCAUAACACAUACGAGCAGUGCUUUGAGGUUUUGGGCUUGGUCUGGGUGGCUCUGUGAUUUUUGAAUUAGGCUUGGCGGCUUUAACACUUUUGGAAUUUAGCCUUGGAAGCCUUGAGGAUAAAAUGAUGGAGUUAAGGGGUCAACAUCCUCCAGAAGAACUGUCUGAUAAAGAGAUUAUGGAGCGUGUACUUGGACGUGAUUCGGUAUACUUGCGAGGGUGGGGGCGGUCUCCUAGUGUCACAACUUCUACUUCACAUCGUGAAAAUAUUGUGGGUAAUCAACCAACUUAUGAAGAGUUACUUGAACGACUUAAUGAUACAACUUCCCGCCUUAAUGCUACUAACGAACAACUUAGUGUAGUUGUGGAUAUACUUCGUCAUAACAAUUUGAUGGCACCGCCGCCUCCACCACCUCCAACAGACCAAGCUUAAGAUGCAAAUUUAAGAGAGUCGCCAUCUAUUUCAGUUCGGGAGUCACAAGAUGAUUCUUAGUUUAUUUACAUUAAUUUACUAAGGAAUGAACUUUAUGAAGUUUUUUUUUUAUUUUGGUAGGGGUAACCUUAAAAUGAUAAUUUUAUGACUUAUUUUAGUAUUGAACAUUAUAAAGAAUUUUAGCAUUAAACAUUUUAUUAUUGAAUGGUUUUUUUCUAGUUUAUUUCUAAUAUAGAACAUUUACAAAUAA